UGGGUACCUACCCCACAGUGAGGGAUACCGGCGAGAAAUCGCCGACAAUACCGCAUAGGCUUCUCUUCUUCAUCGAAGGGAAGCAAAGUUGCGCAAGCGACGCUGAGGGAUGGGCCUGUGGCCGAUUAGCUAGUUGGGGGGGUAACGGCUUCCCAAGGCUGCGAUCGGUAGCUGGUCUGAGAGGACGAUCAGCCACACUGGGAUUGAGAACGGCCCAG
This 218-nucleotide ribosomal RNA is filed under the name uncultured bacterium. Its description in RNAcentral is "partial 16S ribosomal RNA". It matches the Rfam family "Bacterial small subunit ribosomal RNA", at positions 118 to 334 of the family's 1533-position model. The record is from RNAcentral.